RNAcentral lists this ribosomal RNA (416 nucleotides) under uncultured microorganism. RNAcentral describes it as "bacterial SSU rRNA". It matches the Rfam family "Archaeal small subunit ribosomal RNA", at positions 330 to 745 of the family's 1478-position model. The record is from RNAcentral.
GUGCAGCAGUCGCGAAACUUCACACUGUGCGAAAGCACGAUGAGGGAAUCCCAAGUGCUUGCACGUAAGUGUAAGCUGUUUCUCUGUCUAAAACGCAGAGAGAGUAAGGGCUGGGUAAGACGGGUGCCAGCCGCCGCGGUAAUACCUGCAGCUCAAGUGGUGACCGUUAUUAUUGGGCCUAAAACGUCCGUAGCCGGUUUAAUAAAUGCCUGGGUAAAUUGUGUAGCUUAACUAUACGAAUUCCGGGUAGACUGUUAAACUUGAGACCGGGAGAAGUUAGAGGUACUCCUGGGGUAGAGGUGAAAAUUCUGUAAUCCUAGGGGGACCACCAGUGGCGAAGGCGUCCAACUAGAACGGGUCUGACGGUGAGGGACGAAGCCCUGGGGCGCAAAACGGGGAUUAGAUACCCCGGUAGU